AGAAUGAACGUUGGCGGCGUGGAUUAGGCAUGCAAGUCGUGCGUAAAGAGUAGCAAUACUCGGAAGCGGCGUAAGGGAGAGUAAUACAUAGGUAUUUACCCUGGGGUCUGGGAUAGCGGCGGGAAACUGCCGGUAAUACCAGAUGAUAUCUCCGGAUCAAAGGUGUGAUUCCGCCCUAGGAGAAGCCUGUGGUCUAUUAGCUAGUUGGUAGGGUAACGCCUACCAAGGCAAAGAUGGAUAUGGGGCGUGAGAGCGUGCCCCCACUCACUGGGACUGAGACACUGCCCAGACACCUACGGGUGGCUGCAGUCGAGAAUCUUCGGCAAUGGGCGCAAGCCUGACCGAGCGACGCCGCGUGCGGGGUGAAGGCCUUCGGGUUGUAAACCGCUGGUCGGAAGGGGAGGAAAUUGUAGUGGUUCACCCAUUAUAUUGACCGAUCCGUUGGAGGAAGGCCGCUAAUCUCGUGCCAGCAGCCGC
Molecule: ribosomal RNA, 477 nt
Filed under: uncultured soil bacterium
Lineage: Bacteria
Description: bacterial SSU rRNA
Rfam family: Bacterial small subunit ribosomal RNA
Source: RNAcentral